Molecule: ribosomal RNA, 379 nt
Filed under: uncultured bacterium
Lineage: Bacteria
Description: bacterial SSU rRNA
Rfam family: Bacterial small subunit ribosomal RNA
Source: RNAcentral
GACGAACGCUGGCGGCGUGCUUAAUACAUGCAAGUCAACUGAACUUAAGGUAGCAAUAUUUUAAGGAGGUGGCGCACGGGUGAGUAACACGUAGGUAAUCUGCCUUUAGGUCUGACACAACCUACCGAAAGGUAGGCUAAUAUCAGAUGAUGCAGCGGCUCGACAUCGAGACAGUUGUUAAACCUUCGGGGCCUAAAGAUGAGCCUGCGUCUGAUUAGGUAGUUGGCGGAGUAAUAGCCCACCAAGCCUGCGAUCAGUAGCUGGUCUGAGAGGAUGAUCAGCCACACUGGAACUGAGACACGGUCCAGACUCCUACGGGAGGCAGCAGUAAGGAAUAUUGCUCAAUGGCCGAAAGGCUGAAGCAGCAACGCCGCGUGGA